GAUCAUGGCUCAGGAUGAACGCUGGCUACAGGCUUAACACAUGCAAGUCGAGGGGAAACGACGGGGAAGCUUGCUUCCCCCGGGGCGUCGACCGGCGCACGGGUGAGUAACGCGUAUCCAACCUGCCUCUGACUGAGGGAUAACCCGUCGAAAGUCGGCCUAAUACCUCAUGGCAUCGUCUGCGGGCAUCCAACGACGAUUAAAGAUUUCAUCGGUCAGGGAUGGGGAUGCGUCUGAUUAG
RNAcentral lists this ribosomal RNA (241 nucleotides) under uncultured bacterium. RNAcentral's name for it is "partial 16S ribosomal RNA". It matches the Rfam family "Bacterial small subunit ribosomal RNA", at positions 15 to 244 of the family's 1533-position model. The record is from RNAcentral.